RNAcentral lists this long non-coding RNA (8567 nucleotides) under Homo sapiens (human). Its description in RNAcentral is "LHRI_LNC1246.6". Lineage: Eukaryota; Metazoa; Chordata; Mammalia; Primates; Hominidae. The record is from RNAcentral.
GUUGGAGGUCCAAGACUGGGGCGUUGGCUAGGAAGGGGUGGGAGGGCCUCUCUGGAGUCACAGAAGCCUCAUGCAUCUUGACCAGGACGGUGGAUGCAUGGCUUACAUUGGUCACAACUUGUCAACUUGUAUGACUGAAAACUGAACAUCACAUUGAAUUGGACUCAAAGGCAAGACCUGAGGCAAAAUUCAUGUAAGGAGGGAGUUUGGGCGAAGCUUGAGGACUGCUGCCCGGAAGCGUAGAUUCAAGUUGCCCUGAAUACACCUCCUAUUAGCAGCUGUUACAGAAGUUUGGCUGCUGUAACUGACUGGGAAGCUUAAAAUAACAGACAAUCAUCUCUCACAUUUAUGGGGACUGGGAAGUCCAAGACCAAGUUGCCAUCUGGGGAGGGCCUGUUCCUCACAGCGCCUUCCAGCUCAGGCCUCGUUUAUAAGGGCACUCAAGCCUUCCACGACAACGGGUCCUCAUGACUUACUCACCUCGGAAAGCCCCACCCCCAAGACCAUCACAUUGUGGGUGAUGGCAGAGCAUAAGGUGCCUUCCCCACAUGCUCGGGUUGGCCCAGCGUCUCACGCUAGCAGCUACGUGGAAUAGUUAUUUUUUCUGGAGAACUCUGGGACCCCUCUGAUGUCUUGGAGCACCCACACAGGCCGUUCACUGUGCACGCUGUGAGGCUGUCGUCUUGGAGCACCCACACAGGCCGUUCACUGUGCACGUGGUGAGGCUGUCCUCUGGGGAGUUCUGCUGUUGUAUGGGUUCUGUCUGUGUCAAUGUCCCAGCGGGAACGCAGGGCACACUAGCGUCAUCCCCAGAGGGCUUGGUAAGGGGACUGUUUGCAGAGACAUAGGCAGAGGGCUGGAAAACUACCAAAAAAGUGCAGUGUUCUGGACCUAAUAAUAGCAGAGCUAUUCUCACCCUGCCUCCUGCCAGUCCCUGCCAGGGGUCGCCAAUGGCAAAACAGGACUGGAAGCCAGAGGCCAUGGAAGCCCAUGGAUGAAGUCCACAGGCCAGCCUCCCCGAGAGCAGCCUGGACGGUCCGCAGGAGACGUCUCCUGUCUUAGGCGUCCCACGCCGCGUGCUCCUGUUCAGCCCUGCCGAGGUGGAAGCUUGGAGUGGCUCACGGUGGAUGCAUUGACGCUGCAGACGCCAGCAAGUGCUACAAACCAGAGCUGGCCUUUAACUCAGACUGAUGGAGAAGGUGUUAAUAAUGCAGAUUAGACUUAAAAGUGUUGAAGCCAUUGCACUGUGAACAGCAAAAAAAUUGAAGAACUCUUCUGGCAUUUAAAAACAAUUACUCAGUUCAGCAGAGAAGUCACUGACAAACGAGAUCACACUGACUGCUUUGUCGUUUUGGUUUUGUCUUACUCAUUAAUGCAAAUAAGAACAUUCACUAGCAUCUGUGUCGGGCCUACCCUCCCUGGUCAAAUACAGCUACAGUCUCCCUGCAGAAACGAGUUUUCCAGAAAUGAGCCGAUGUUUUCUGCGAGAAUCAAUUGGUCAUAUACAAUUUACAAAAAUGAGUACUGUAUACUAUAUUUGUAAACUGUACACUGCAGAUGCUUUAUUUCACUGAAAUUUAUAAUACACUUAUCCAUGUAUAUGCAUGCAUGCAUUUUUGUUCCUGAGAUCCAGCUGUGAAAUGUUUACCAGCACAUAAAUUACCAGCACAUGCUCUUUUUUGUUAACCUACUAGGUAAAAUCUUCAUUUAUUACAUCAAAUUCUUGUAGUUUUUGUAUUGCAAUUAUGCAGAUAUUGAUUAUCGCAGUAUUACUGCAAUUAUACAGAUACCACAAUUUCAGAUAUUGAUCAGCGUGUUCAGUUGGUUUCUAAGGAGGUUUACUUACCUCAUGGUACACCUAGUUUGCAUAGUUUGAUUAUAUUUAACUCUUAUGCUAAUUGGGGGAAGUCAUUGAUUUAUUGGACAGAUGCACCUGUGGUCUUCCCUGAGCACAUCCUGGCCAAGGAUGCUGCCCCCAGGAGAUUUGAGAAGUCCUGUAAGGAUCAUAUCAGUAUUUUCAAAUACUUAUAGAAAAGCCAGAGGGAUUGACCCAGAAUUACCAAUAUAAGCUUGACCCUGAGAUAACAAUGCCAUUUUAUGUUUGCAUGCAUAAAACCAAUGCAAGAGGCUGAUGACUCCAGAUCCCUUAUAUAAGCCAAUAAAAAGUAGUUUCAUUUUUUAUUUCAUUUAAAAAAGUGUACCAUUAACCUAAAGCCUGCUUGUAAAACCAGUUUGUUUCUGAAGCAUUAGCUCAAAGCUCACUUGCAUUUGGUGAGAAGUCCCUCACGUGUGGCUGCCCUGGCUGGGAGCUCUGAGCUCUGGGAGCCAUUGGAACUGCUAAUCCCACCAGUGCCGUCUGAUUCCCUCUGCUCUAAUGGAGGUCUUUUGCCGGGUAUCCAGUGGCAUUUUCUGGGCUUGGGAGUCAGUAAUUCCCAGUGAUCAAGUGUCUCUGCUCUGAAAAUGCCUUUCUUUGUGAUAUGAAGCUGUCAGUGAUGGAGACUGACCUUUUCAUAAGUCAGUGAAUUUUCUUUCUCUGAGUCAUUUUAGAGAGUGAAUCUGAACUCUCCAGUCUGUCCUAAGAAGACAUUAAUUGGAGCAGGCAUGGAACCUUCAGCUUUCCCAGUCACCUGCCGGGUUACUUGGCUUAACCUGGGAAUUAACCAGUUAAUAAGGUUGUUGAAAUGGAAAGAAUCCAGGAGGCUGCAGUGUGAGGCUGAUUUGCUGUCUUUAUUAAGUGAGGAAAUGAGAAAUGGGAAGAAUCCAGGAGGCUGCAGUGUGAGGCUGAUUUGCUGUCUUUAUUAAGUGAGGAAACGACAGCAAAGCACUUCUAGGCUUCUCACAGCUGAGCACACGAAGACUAAGCCCUCUUCCCGCCGUAGCCAGUGAGGAGAGGAUCCCUCUUCCCAAGCCCCCUCAAGCAGUGGCUCCCGCUCACUGGAGGCUGGAGUUUCUAGGGCUUGUCCCUGUCCAGAGCUGCUGCCUCAGGUGUGAGGGUGACUGCCCAGCCCCCGCGCCACAGGCCCUCCUCUCACCCGGACCUCAGGACCAGUUGGUAGGCCCCAGGCUUCCACCUUCAGGGGCAUGGGGACGCUGGCCCCUGUGUCCGCCGAGGACGUCCUGGCUCCUUUUGGGGGUCUCUCCUGUCAGGACAGGUUCCGUGGGGUUGGAGGGACUCAGCCUGUUUCUGUGCCAUCCGCCUUUAACGGCCCAGAAACGUUAGUGACUGAGAGUAAAAUAAGGUCGACUUCACAGUUUCUUUCUCCUCAGCAGUGUCUGGGGGCUGGUCCUCAGCCAUGACCGCCGGCCCUGGUCUGUCAUCAUCCUGAUAAUUUUCCAGAACUCCACCUGCAGCCGUCAUCCUGGGCGGCCCUGCUCCAUCUGUACCCUCUGCCCUGCCCUGGUCCUGGACCUGCUCCGCUCUGCAUUGCGCUCUGCGGGACCUGAGAGGUUUCUCAGCAGGAGCUGAAUAGUGUUGAAAAGGCUUCCAGCCCGCACCUCAGUGGGGCACUUUUCUUCAUGGGACAUGCGGGGUUGUCUGGGCUGGAGAACACAGAUUUGGGGGCACUCCGGAAGGUGGCAGAAGGUUGGCCCUACACGGGACCCAGUGGUCAUCUCUGCAAAUGCCGGGGCUGGGCUGUUCCUGCCUCAGAGGCCUCCCUCCUCCAGAGCAGGGGUGGAGAAAUCAGCCUGGAGAGCCUCACGGCGCAGGAGGGAUUUGCCGGGGCUGCCUCUGCAUAGAGCCCCCUGCAAACAGAGGAGCUGUUUUAUAGCACUGGAUUUAGCUUGCAGGGUCCUGGAACACCUAGAGACACCAGAGGGGGAGACCGCAGAUGAAGACCUCCUGGACGGCCGGGCAACCAGUGGCAGUCCCACGAGCCACGGGGCCGUGGCCAGCCUCCUUUCGGGACACAGUCCAGCCUGGAGGGAAGGAGGGGACAGGGGACCUUUCUGAUUCUUCUUUUUCCUUUUCCUUUGGAAUGAGAAAACAGCCUCUACGUUCUCCCAUUCACGUCUGUCAUCAGCUGAAGGAGCUCUUCCCCUUUUCCCCACUGACUCUGCACCCUCCACGGGGACAGCCUUGCUUUCGGGGCACAAUGAAAGAAACAUGACUGGAGACAUUACCAAGACCUGUCACUUGCUACCUUCUCUUUCUGAAGCCGUAAACAUGAGGAAAGACUCAUCGUUAGGUUAUUAUGAAUGAUGGACCAGCUUAUGUGUUUCAAUGAAAGCUAGGCUAUCACUGAGCUUGCUGGCUUAAAGCUGUGUGAGCCCACUGCUUAAUUUUUGGGACACAAAAGGUCUAGAAAUGUCGCCUGGCCUUUUCCAGUAGAGGUUGGCCCAAGAGCAUGAAUUUUCUGGCCAGCAUUUCGUUUCUUUUUCCUUCACGUAUGUUGCCAGCACUCAGGGCCUGUGGACCUGCCUUCUGUGCAGGGUGUCUUGUCUUUCGGGGCCGUGGCUGCUUCCGUAGGAGGCAUGGCAGGUGCCAGCCUGGGGCUGAGCUCUCCCCACGUGGAGCUCAGGGCCUCAGAGGCCAAAGGCACAUCCCUCAGAGGGCCUGGAAAUGGAAGGCCGGGCUGGGUUUACGGCACACCCAGGCCGGGCUCUAGUGGCUCAUGGUCACAGCCUGUCCACACAGCAUGGCGCUCCAGAGAAUGCUCAGAGGCUUAGGCUCAGACAGACAUGAAUUCACGUCUGAUGGGCGGAGCACCCGUGUGACCAUGGCAGGUUGCCUCCUUUUUAUCUGCAAAGCUGUGGCAAUGAUCCCCACCUCCAAGGACUCCAGCGAGGCACAUGUGAGACGCUGCAUGGGAAGAGCGUCCUGCAAACCCGGCCAGAUGGCAGCUGCACCGUCCCUCUGCCAGGUGUCCCUGGAGAUGCCUGCCUACCCAGCUCUGUUUCUGUUCACAUCUCAGUGUGACAAGCAGCCUGGAAGGGCCAUGCUCGAAAGGCUUGGGCCAGGAGCUCUUACCUGGUGAGCACAGACUGCGGCUUCCCAGACACCAACAGGGGAGGGGACAGAUGUUGCGCCAUGCUACGCCAUUGACUUUUCUGCAACUGAUACGAUGGGAAUAAUACUCCACUUCAGUUCACAGGGUGGGGGCAAUAGUGAGUGAGAGCUGGACAAGCCAGGGAAUAUUGAGAGACCAAAGACACCUGUUGUGGAUUUCCUGGGCCAUGAGAGCCGCCUCUUGGACGUGCAGGGUUGACGUAGUCAGCCACUCUUCUGAAACAGCGGCCUGGGGACCAGGCAGCCACGGUGAACCCUGGUACAUCACAGAGGGUGCUGACAUGGGCUGUACUGUGGGAGCUGCUGUGUAAUCAUUGCACACUGGGCAGUGGUGUUUGGCAUUCCCUGUGAUUACGUUCAGCCACCUAGACAGAACCCCAAAUCACGGUGGGUGAAACAAGAUGGAGCGCAUUUUCUUCCAUGCACAGGAAGCAUGGCAGCUGGCACUUACAGCCAGCGUGAAGCUCCCAGGGGCUCCAGAGCCAGGAGCUCUCUGCUCCUGGGCCUCACAUCCCUGCUCAUGGCUUCCAUGCUCCCUGCCAGCGUGGCUGCUGGAACUCCAGCCUUCUCAUCACAAUGCGUACAGGGAGGCUUCCAGAAGCUCUGGGUCAGUAUUCCGGCGUGCAUGUCCUCCACCCUAACGCACUCACCCACAUGCGCCGAGCAAAGUUGGAGCGGGUGGAGAAGGGCCUGGCGGUGCAGAGGCCCCAGGAUUUCUGGACAGGGCAGCUGUGGCUGCAGCAGGGAGGUGCAGUGCUGCGGGGAGGCGGUUGACAGCUGUCGCCUUUUGCCACUUCUGAGCCCAGCCACCAAAUUGGUCCACGUCUCUUAGAAAAUUCUGUGACAUGGCAGAUUCAUUGACACUCCUGGUCAUAACUGCUUCCCUUCUCCCACUAGACCACCUUCCCUCCCCAGCCCCCUUUUGGUAGCACAAAUACAGCUGCUGUGUGUAUUGGAUCCAGCAGGCGUGGAUCCAAUUAAACCUACACUAUUUGUUUCACUUUUCUUCAGAAAGAGCCUAUGAAAUAUGAGUUUCGGGGGCAAAGUUUUUAUCAUCAGAGCUGUUCCUUUCCAGCAGACCUUUCAGUUCUCAGCAGCAGCCCUUCUUUCUGGGGUAGGAACUGAGCUGGUCUGUGGGAUGCCCCGCCUCGUUCCAAAUGGGGUCCAUCCCUGAGACAAAGGCACAUGAUACAAAGCAAAGCCGCACAAACCUGCGGGAAUCAGAGUGAGGGAGAUGGAGGUGGAACAGCCACGCGGCCCGAGGAAGCAGCUACAGAAUGAAGUCUGUUAGUUCCCAUUCAGGCACCAGAGUGGGCCACACAUUUGCUGGUAGCUUCUAUCGACCAGUGCAAAAAGGCGACCGAGGUCUGUGAUGUCCCAGAGUGAACAUGACAGAGCGCAGGGGACACUCGGGCCUGAGCCCCCUGCCACCAAGGAAGAGGACCUUGAGGAAGGCAUGGGUGCCACCUGUCCACUGCACACACAGCCCUUCUAACGAACACGGACCCUCACGGGGCCCGGCGGGGCUCAGACACCGAUUCUAACACAGACCCUCACGGGCCCCCGCGGGGCUCAGACACCGAUUCCAACACGGACCCUCACGGGCCCCGCGGGGCUCAGACACCGAUUCCAACACGGACCCUCACGGGGCCCGGCGGGGCUCAGACACCGAUUCUAACACAGACCCUCACGGGGCCCGGCGGGGCUCAGACACCGAUUCUCACACGGACCCUCACGGGCCCCGGCGGGGCUCAGACACCGAGGCUGACACACUGCCCUGUGCACACCUGCCUGGAGCCGGUGGCGGGACCCAGGGAGAGACAGCGUGUCCUCCAGCGUCUCCCCAGCUCCUCCGUGGUCAGUGGAGAGUCCAUGGGAACGUUUGAGGCUUUGAUCCUUGGCAAGAAUAUUUUUUUUUUGAGAUGGAGUCUCACUCUGUCGCCCAGGCUGGAGUGCAGAGUGGUGUGAUCUCGGCUCACUGCAAGCUCCGCCUCCCAGGUUCACGCCAUUCUCCUGCCUCAGCCUCCCGAGUAGCAGGGACUACAGGCGCCCGCCACCACGCCUGGCUAAUUUUUUGUAUUUUUAGUACAGACAGGGUUUCACUGUGUUAGCCAGGAUGGUCUCAAUCUCCUGACCUCGUGAUCCACCCUCCUCGGCCUCCCAAAGUGCUGGGAUUACAGGCGUGAGCCCCCGCGCCCGGCCGGCAAGAAUCCUGCGUGCGGAUGUUAAACCAGGGGCCAAAUGCAGCCAGGCUUGCACAGUGGGCUUGUCUUCAGCAAGAUGGGGGCUGCCUCAGAAUCACCAGGAACGUUCGAUAAAAAUGGAGACUUCCGGAACCUGCCCUAACCUACUGAACAGUAUCGUUGCUGGUGGGUGCCCUGCAGUCUGCAUUUGGCAAACUGGCAUAGCGAGUCCCAUGCCGUGUCGAGCCUGAGCCCCACGUUUCAUAAGGGAUUAGGGUCACUGGAGCUCACGAGGCCGCACCUGUUCCUGGCUGGGUGCGCUUGGGCACUUUGCCCGUCUACGCCUGGAACUUCUCUGGUGUAAACUGGAAUAAUAUCUCCUUUACAUGGCACAGAACUAAAGAUUCUUUGAGUUCCAGGUAAUAAAAACCAAGGCCAGACUAAAUCAGACAAAAUGACAUUUAAAACAUAAUAAAGACAGGAUUGCAGCUGACAGUGGAUCUAGAGAUCCACAGUUCACUGGGCCCCCACCCUGCCUGUCGCUCAGAAGUCUCCCCUCUGUGUGGCUUCACUCGCAGGCCGCUCCUCUGCACGGAGCAGCAGGGUGGCCGCCAUCAGCCUGGUCUCAUCUGCCCUCAGGGCUGAUGGUCCUGGACAAACAGCUGUCUCUCUGUUCAUCAAACUUGAGUUCAUAGCCUUCCAGAGGUGGCUGCAAAGCAGGCGGUGUGCUCACCUGGGCCGAUCACACCUCUGAGGGACCGAGCGCUCUGAGGACGGUGCCCCAGGUCACACCCGUGAGGGGCACACAUCCCCUGGGCUUCAGAGCAACGCAGCUGUGUCCUCUCCACAAGAGACACAUGGCUCCAGCUCCACACCCGAGCACCUGCUGUUUACGGUUUGUGCUGACCGGAUGCUGUUUCUCCUUCCAUCUCCACCUGCAAAUGUUCUGCUGACCCUCAGGCCGGUUUGAAGACCAGCACAGCCCAUGUGAGCAGGGCACAGGGCCCCAUCCUGAGUGGCUGGCCUGUCCGGGGGAGGAAGUUCCACCCCACACCCACCCCACCACCACAGGAUGUGCCCAGAAGGCGGAGGGACUGGCCACUGUGGGGGCUCCCAUGUCCAGGCCGGGCCUCCUCAGCAUAAAAUCAGCUGACAGCAGCCUCAACGCGCCACUGCCUGAGAGGACACCGCCUCUCCAAACCUGGGAAGAAGGCAGCCACGCCCUGGGGAGGGAACAGGUGGAGGUGGGUGCCAGGACUAGCCAGGACUUCCUCCCAAAUAUUUAGAAACUUGAUUGCAAUGAAAAGAUAGCAUCACUGAAUUAAAGACGUCAUUUAUUAUGGAGCUGAGAUUUGGUUUGCCCAGCAGCUUAAAAC